CCCUUAGAUGUUCUGGGCCGCACGCGCGCUACACUGACGAAUGCAACGAGCUUAUAACCUUGGCCGAAAGGUCUGGGUAAUCUCCAAAUUUCGUCGUGAUGGGGAUAGAUUAUUGCAAUUAUUAAUCUUCAACGAGGAAUGCCUAGUAAGCGCAAGUCAUCAGCUUGCGUUGAUUACGUCCCUGCCCUUUGUACAAACCGCCCGUCGCUCCUACCGAUUGAAUGGUCCGGUGAAGCGUUCGGACCGUGGCCUUUGGACGGUUCGCCGUCUGUUGGCUGCGGGAAGUUCGUUAAACCUUAUCAUUUAGAGGAAGGAGAAGUCGUAACA
Molecule: ribosomal RNA, 327 nt
Filed under: uncultured eukaryote
Lineage: Eukaryota
Description: partial 18S ribosomal RNA
Rfam family: Eukaryotic small subunit ribosomal RNA
Source: RNAcentral